RNAcentral lists this long non-coding RNA (2279 nucleotides) under Panax ginseng (ginseng). RNAcentral describes it as "long non-coding RNA (PGIN_LNC016533)". Lineage: Eukaryota; Viridiplantae; Streptophyta; Magnoliopsida; Apiales; Araliaceae. The record is from RNAcentral.
CAAUAAAAUACAAUGGCAUCCACAUAAAGAAAUAAUACAGCGUCCAAGCACUAGUCCUCACUUAAGCCUCGUUUCCAUAUAUUCAAAAUAAACAAAUUUACAAACCACCAUAACCAUAUUUUCAAUUCCCAUUUCGUCCUCAUCUCUCUCAAGUAGACCAGUUUUUUCCUUGACUAAAAUGAAUGAAUCAUUUCAUUAAUCAGAGCUGUUAAAUUCUCGAAUACGCACAAACAAAGCACAUUGAUUAGACCUCACGAUUCAUGGGUUUGUUCUGAUUUUUGUUUCUGAUACAUAACUAUAAAUUUCUCAAAUACCCAUUUGCUUUUACUCUUUUAAUUUUUUUAAUUCCAUUGGGGAUCAGCUGCUGAAUCAUCGUGCUUCUUCUUUCUCAAAUUUUUGUAUAUACUUGAAUCAGGUAAAAGGGGUUUCCUUCAAUCUAAUUUUAGUUUCUUUUGCUGAUUUUCUCGCAAUUAGCUUCUGGGUAUUGCAAAUUUGUAGCUUUCUGGGAGUUGGGUCUGAUCUCAUCUGUGGGGCGCAGCUUGACUUGCUUAGUAAUUGUUUGUGAUUUGUUUUAAUAGAAUAUUUGAAAUUAUUUGGAUCUCUGUAGAAACAUAAUUUAAUUUGUUUUUAAUCUGAUAUGACAGCAUACACAGUUCCAAAUAUGUAAUUUUCACAUUAUCAUAUCCUGUACAUGCCACAUAACUGUCAAUUAGCCUCUAUUUCUUUUUUCUUUUUUUGGUUUUUUUUUUAUAGGUUAGAUAUGGAGCAAGUGUGGUCUUUUGUGUCUUUGUGGUUUGUCUUUUUUUAGUUUGUGGUUGUGGAGUUCAUUUUCUCUAGUGAGUGGUUAUGAUAGUGUUUGUAAAAUCUGAGGACAUCACUGUGCUUAGGGGUAGUGGUGGUUUUAGCUUGUUGGUUAAUUUCCUGUGGAAAUGAUCUUGGUAAGUAUAUUAGUGAAAGCAGACAGGAAAUCUAUGCCUGCCCAUGAUAUUUAUCUCUAGUGCAAUUCAUUUAUAGAGAUAUUAUAUUUGUUGCAUAUUUACCUAUAUAACUGAUUUCAUGUUUGAUAUGGCUAUGAGUGUCUUGGCAUCAGAAGGAGAAGAAAAUGUUGUGCAUAUCUAUGAAUGUGGUGGUAUCACUUGUUCAUUCUCACAAUUCUUGAUAAAUUAUAAUAAAUGAAAAGAAGAUUUGAUAUGCUAACCAUGUUUCGCAUUGAAAAGAAACUAUUUUAUAUCUGCCAACAUCUUUUAUAGUUUCCACAUUUCUUUAUAAUUUGUUUAAUUGUCGAUUGACAUCUUUCAGAUGGAGAGGGAAUUAUUUAGUAAAAUUUGAGUGGAAACUUCAAGUGUAAUCAGUAUAUAGACAUCACAACAGGGUGGGUAUGGUACAGGGUGACCCUUUCCCAUGCCUACCCUGCUAAGAAAACUCCACCCCGUUCCGCUCCGCCCCAAUCAGCCCAUUUUUCCCCUUGUAGCAAUUAGCAAACUAAGAGAAGAGAUUUAAAAAUAAAAUUAAAAAAAAGACUAUGUCAUGCUAAAAUAGAAGACCAUUAUAUAAUAGCAUUUAAUUGAUGACCCAACAUCAAACGAAUAUCAAAAUGGAAAUUGCUCCUCAAAAGGUUCUUCGCAGCCCUAAUGAUCCAUGCUAAAUGGAUUUCCUAACGUUCCCAACCUCUAAGAAAUUCAUCAGUAAUUUAUUUUCAAGUACCUUCCCCAAAUGGAAAGAGCCAACACGACUCUGCAACCUUACCUCCUCCAAUCCAAAGCGUUUAAUAAAUAAUAACCACCCUCCAACAGGGGCUGCCUUCUUCUACUGAAAAUGCCAAACCCAUUUUCCAAACAAACCUUGAUUAAUAGUUCCCAAGUCUCGAAUACCAAAACCUCAUUAUCAUGUUUUAUUUAAUAAGCAUCAAUCUUCCUCGUUUGGACAAGUAACCCCUUUUGUAACUGUGUAAAAAGUAGAUAUUCAUGUAGAUUUAUUGAUUGUAAAUAAUAUGAUUACACUUAAUUAACAUUUUCUGUGACGUUAUCUAGAUUUUAAGUACAAUUUGUGCCGAAAUACUAAAAUUCUAAAACUUUUUAUAUUCUUAUAAAUUUAUUAAAUAGAUCUCGUGAACAGUUCAAGACUGGGGCCAACUGAUUUAUAACUGAGCCAAGAUUGAACACAACUUAACGAGUUGAGUGUAAAGAAGACGUAGCUCGGCUCGAGAUUGGUUAAUUUGUAGCCAUAGUUACAUCCCUCUUGUCUGCCUAUAGUUCUGUCUCAUAUCCUUCAUGUAUCUG